AACUGCUGCUUUGUAGCCGAGACGGUGUUUCUAACGCUUGCCAUGUCCUGGCAGAAAGCAUGGUGUGGGAUGACAGAUGAUGCGGGCUAGACAAGCUCUGUGUUCUCUGAAUCAUGUUUAGAGAGCAAAGGAGACUGUGGCAAGCACCAUACACGUGUGCCUAGUGGGAAAACCUCAGAACUACUCAGGUCUUUAACUGUCUUUGAAGACAGCCAUCUUUCCUGCCCCCUGUGGACAAUAAGACAACUGAACAU
RNAcentral lists this long non-coding RNA (254 nucleotides) under Mus pahari (shrew mouse). Its description in RNAcentral is "lncRNA (MGP_PahariEiJ_G0004114.1)". Lineage: Eukaryota; Metazoa; Chordata; Mammalia; Rodentia; Muridae. The record is from RNAcentral.